This 395-nucleotide ribosomal RNA is filed under the name uncultured bacterium. RNAcentral describes it as "bacterial SSU rRNA". It matches the Rfam family "Bacterial small subunit ribosomal RNA", at positions 505 to 898 of the family's 1533-position model. The record is from RNAcentral.
GUGUCAGCAGCCGCGGUAAUACGUAGGUGGCAAGCGUUGUCCGGAAUUACUGGGCGUAAAGAGCGCGUAGGCGGGAAUUUAAGUCAGGAGUGAAAACUGGCGGCUCAACCGCCAGCCUGCUCUUGAAACUGGAUUUCUUGAGGGUAUGAGAGGAAAGCGGAAUUCCCAGUGUAGCGGUGAAAUGCGUAGAUAUUGGGAGGAACACCAGUGGCGAAGGCGGCUUUCUGGCAUACAACUGACGCUGAGGCGCGAAAGCGUGGGGAGCAAACGGGAUUAGAUACCCCGGUAGUCCACGCCGUAAACGAUGGAUACUAGGUGUAGGAGGUAUCGACCCCUUCUGUGCCGUAGUUAACACAAUAAGUAUCCCGCCUGGGGAGUACGGCCGCAAGGUUGAA